Long non-coding RNA from Meriones unguiculatus (Mongolian gerbil), 569 nucleotides. RefSeq lists it as uncharacterized. The transcript has 4 exons. The record is from RefSeq and is a predicted model, not a curated record. Lineage: Eukaryota; Metazoa; Chordata; Mammalia; Rodentia; Muridae.
UUUGUAGGUGACUAGUCAGCUUCUUUGAUUAGGGUGUAGAGUAAAUGCUAUCAAGGUUACCGGAAGAUUUCUCCUUUGUGGAUAUAUAUUGGAUUGUGAUCAGGCCCUGGUUGUCAGAUUCAAGGACAAGAACGUGAUACAGUAUGGCAGGGAUUGAAGUCCAGCCUAUCUGAACAGGUGCUUCCCUUCCACUUGAAGGAAGAAGCAAACACAUGCAACAAGAAUGAAACACAUAUGAACUUACAAAGAGUGUGACAGCACAUCCAAGAUGUGCGCAGACUCAAACCAGAUGAAAUCAAAGCACUGAGAAAGAGAAAUAGAAACAAAGUCCCACACCUAACCAAGAAGUUACUUGCAAUUGAUAUCUGCUGGAAAGAAAAAAUCAAUUUUCUCCAAAGGAGUGUCACUUCACUCCAGAUCCAAGAUGACGGUGAUCAGCUCACAUCAUAUCUGAGGGGCACAGGAUACAAAACUCUGAAACUGGUUCAUAAAUUAUGAAGACUCUUUCGAAUAAAAUUCGAGAGCGCCACCUGGAACAAAUGAAGACUUUAUAGAGCGGUAGUUAAGGU